RNAcentral lists this long non-coding RNA (517 nucleotides) under Homo sapiens (human). Its description in RNAcentral is "HSALNT0384917". The record is from RNAcentral. Lineage: Eukaryota; Metazoa; Chordata; Mammalia; Primates; Hominidae.
AGAAUUGGGGUGGGGCGCGCCAAGAGGAGCAAGCAUUAUAGAACGUGGGGAGCAUGAGAAAUACACGGAGGUGGAAACGCCGGAGUGGCUGGCGGGUAAAGGCAGCGGGCGCAGAUGAAGCGGGCUGGGCGUCCCACGCGCAGAACCGUCCCGGACAGAAGCCGCAGGGCUGCGCUGGCUGGAAAAAGGAACGCGAGUACAGCGCGCGUGGCGCGGGGUCUGCUCCAGGACGGAAUCUUUUGGGUGGCCCGCAUGAGGGGUUUGCAGGACCCCGGGCCUUUGGGAAGUUAUCUGCUAAACUCCAGUAGACCCUGAGGAGCAGCGGCUCAUGAAUCUUCUUAAACUUCUGUCAUCAGCGGCUGGGCCAGCUGAAGGUGACCAUGGCACACGAGGGAGAGAGAAGCCCGCGAGAGGCGGAGAAAUGUGGGGUCGUCCAGGAGGGUCGACAAGGCAAAGAACCUGAAGACGACCCAAAAGGGUACCUAGUAUUUCCAUGGGGAUUGGGAAAGCUACUGGC